UACGUAGGGGGCUAGCGUUGUCUGGAAUCAUUGGGCGUAAAGAGCGUGUAGGCGGCCCGGUAAGUCCGCUGUGAAAGUCGGGGGCUCAACCCUCGAAAGCCGGUGGAUACUGUCGGGCUAGAGUGCGGAAGAGGCGAGUGGAAUUCCUGGUGUAGCGGUGAAAUGCGCAGAUAUCAGGAGGAACACCGAUUGCGAAGGCAGCUCGCUGGGACGUAACUGACGCUGAGGCGCGAAAGCUAGGGGAGCAAACAGG
RNAcentral lists this ribosomal RNA (253 nucleotides) under uncultured bacterium. RNAcentral's name for it is "partial 16S ribosomal RNA". It matches the Rfam family "Bacterial small subunit ribosomal RNA", at positions 524 to 776 of the family's 1533-position model. The record is from RNAcentral.